GGGGAUGACAGAAGAAAGAGGGAUGGAGAGGCAGGGUGAAGGGUAUUAGGUGGAGGAUGAGGAGAGGGGAUGACAGGAGAAAGAGGGAUGGAGAGGCAGGGUGAAGGGGAUUAGGUGGAGGAUGAGGAGAGGGGAUGACAGGAGAAAGAGGGAUGGAGAGGCAGGGUGAAGGGGAUUAGGUGGAGGAUGAGGAGAGGGGAUGACAGGAGAAAGAGGGAUGGAGAGGCAGGGUGAAGGGGAUUAGGUGGAGGAUGAGGAGAGGGGAUGACAGGAGAAAGAGGGAUGGAGAGGCAGGGUGAAGGGGAUUAGGUGGAGGAUGAGGAGAGGGGAUGACAGGAGAAAGAGGGAUGGAGAGGCAGGGUGAAGGGGAUUAGGUGGAGGAUGAGGAGAGGGGAUGACAGGAGAAAGAGGGAUGGAGAGGCAGGGUGAAGGGGAGGAUGAGAGAGGGGAUGACA
Oncorhynchus keta (chum salmon) is the source of this 455-nucleotide long non-coding RNA. RefSeq lists it as uncharacterized. The transcript has 3 exons. The record is from RefSeq and is a predicted model, not a curated record. Lineage: Eukaryota; Metazoa; Chordata; Actinopteri; Salmoniformes; Salmonidae.